Molecule: ribosomal RNA, 175 nt
Filed under: uncultured bacterium
Lineage: Bacteria
Description: partial 16S ribosomal RNA
Rfam family: Bacterial small subunit ribosomal RNA
Source: RNAcentral
GCUGGAAUUGCUAGUAAUGGCAGGUCAGCAUACUGCCGUGAAUACGUUCCCGGGCCUUGUACACACCGCCCGUCGCACCAUGAGAGUUGGAAAUACCCGAAGCCUGUGAGCUAACUUAAAGAGGCAGCAGUCGAAGGUAGAGCCAAUGAUUGGGGUGAAGUCGUAACAAGGUAUC